GACGAACGCUGGCGGCGUGCCUAAUACAUGCAAGUAGAACGCACAGUUUAUACCGUGGCUUGCUACACCAUAGACUGUGAGUUGCGAACGGGUGAGUAACGCGUAGGUAACCUGCCUGGUAGCGGGGGAUAACUAUUGGUAACGAUAGCUAAUACCGCAUAAUAUUAAUUAUUGCAUGAUAAUUAAUUGAAAGGUGCAAUUGCACCACUACCAGAUGGACCUGCGUUGUAUUAGGUAGUAGGUGAGGUAACGGCUCACCUAGUCGACGGUACAUAGCCGACUCUGGAAGGUGGACGGGCCAAACUGGAACUAGACCAGGCCCAGAAUCCCAACGGAGGGCGCAGUAGGGAAACUUUGGACAAGGACGACAGCCCGAACGAGCCAAGGCGGGUGAGUGAAGAAAGUCCUCCGAUCGUAAAGCUCUGUUGUAACGGGAGAAAGGCUGUGAGACUAGAAAGUCCAGAGUGUGACGGUACCUUAACAGAAAGCAACGGCUAACUACGUG
Molecule: ribosomal RNA, 505 nt
Filed under: uncultured bacterium
Lineage: Bacteria
Description: partial 16S ribosomal RNA
Rfam family: Bacterial small subunit ribosomal RNA
Source: RNAcentral